RNAcentral lists this ribosomal RNA (253 nucleotides) under uncultured bacterium. RNAcentral describes it as "partial 16S ribosomal RNA". It matches the Rfam family "Bacterial small subunit ribosomal RNA", at positions 524 to 776 of the family's 1533-position model. The record is from RNAcentral.
UACAGAGGGUGCGAGCGUUAAUCGGAAUUACUGGGCGUAAAGCGCACGUAGGCGGCUUUGUAAGUUAGAGGUGAAAGCCCGGGGCUCAACCCCGGAAUUGCCUUUGAGACUGCAUCGCUAGAAUUGUGGAGAGGUAAGUGGAAUUCCGAGUGUAGAGGUGAAAUUCGUAGAUAUUCGGAAGAACACCAGUGGCGAAGGCGACUUACUGGACACAUAUUGACGCUGAGGUGCGAAAGCGUGGGGAGCAAACAGG